CCUACGGGAGGCAGCAGUGGGGAAUAUUGGACAAUGGGGGCAACCCUGAUCCAGCCAUGCCGUGUGUGUGAAGAAGGCCCUCGGGUUGUAAAGCACUUUCAGUGAGGAAGAACGCCUGGUGGUUAAUACCCAUCAGGAAAGACAUCACUCACAGAAGAAGCACCGGCUAACUCCGUGCCAGCAGCCGCGGUAAUACGGAGGGUGCGAGCGUUAAUCGGAAUUACUGGGCGUAAAGCGCGCGUAGGUGGCUUGAUAAGCCGGUUGUGAAAGCCCCGGGCUCAACCUGGGAACGGCAUCCGGAACUGUCAAGCUAGAGUGCAGGAGAGGAAGGUAGAAUUCCCGGUGUAGCGGUGAAAUGCGUAGAGAUCGGGAGGAAUACCAGUGGCGAAGGCGGCCUUCUGGACUGACACUGACACUGAGGUGCGAAAGCGUGGGUAGCAAACAGGAUUAGAUACCCCUGUAGUC
Molecule: ribosomal RNA, 465 nt
Filed under: Vreelandella stevensii
Lineage: Bacteria; Pseudomonadati; Pseudomonadota; Gammaproteobacteria; Oceanospirillales; Halomonadaceae
Description: partial 16S ribosomal RNA
Rfam family: Bacterial small subunit ribosomal RNA
Source: RNAcentral